AACACAUGCAAGUCGAGCGGGCGAGGUUGCUUCGGUAACUGAGCUAGCGGCGGACGGGUGAGUAAUGCUUAGGAAUCUGCCUAUUAGUGGGGGACAACAUUCCGAAAGGAAUGCUAAUACCGCAUACGCCCUACGGGGGAAAGCAGGGGAUCUUCGGACCUUGCGCUAAUAGAUGAGCCUAAGUCAGAUUAGCUAGUUGGUGGGGUAAAGGCCUACCAAGGCGACGAUCUGUAGCGGGUCUGAGAGGAUGAUCCGCCACACUGGGACUGAGACACGGCCCAGACUCCUACGGGAGGCAGCAGUGGGGAAUAUUGGACAAUGGGCGCAAGCCUGAUCCAGCCAUGCCGCGUGUGUGAAGAAGGCCUUUUGGUUGUAAAGCACUUUAAGCGAGGAGGAGGCUACUUGGAUUAAUACUCUAGGAUAGUGGACGUUACUCGCAGAAUAAGCACCGGCUAACUCUGUGCCAGCAGCCGCGGUAAUACAGAGGGUGCGAGCGUUAAUCGGAUUUACUGGGCGUAAAGCGUGCGUAGGCGGCUUUUUAAGUCGGAUGUGAAAUCCCCGAGCUUAACUUAGGAAUUGCAUUCGAUACUGGGAAGCUAGAGUAUGGGAGAGGAUGGUAGAAUUCCAGGUGUAGCGGUGAAAUGCGUAGAGAUCUGGAGGAAUACCGAUGGCGAAGGCAGCCAUCUGGCCUAAUACUGACGCUGAGGUACGAAAGCAUGGGGAGCAAACAGG
This 732-nucleotide ribosomal RNA is filed under the name uncultured Pseudomonadota bacterium. RNAcentral describes it as "bacterial SSU rRNA". It matches the Rfam family "Bacterial small subunit ribosomal RNA", at positions 50 to 776 of the family's 1533-position model. Lineage: Bacteria; Pseudomonadati; Pseudomonadota. The record is from RNAcentral.